CCUACGGGUGGCAGCAGUGGGGAAUAUUGCGCAAUGGGCGAAAGCCUGACGCAGCGACGCCGCGUGAGGGAUGAAGGUCCUCGGAUCGUAAACCUCUGUCAGCAGGGAAGAACGGUCACUGUGCUAAUCAGCAGUGAAUUGACGGUACCUGCAAAGGAAGCACCGGCUAACUCCGUGCCAGCAGCCGCGGUAAGACGGAGGGUGCGAGCGUUAAUCGGAAUUACUGGGCGUAAAGCGCUCGUAGGCGGUAUGUCAAGUCAAGGGUGAAAGCCCCGGGCUCAACGUGGGAACUGCCUUUGAAACUGGCAAGCUGGAGGGUGUGGGAGGAUAGUGGAAAUGCAGGGGUAGGAGUGAAAU
This 357-nucleotide ribosomal RNA is filed under the name uncultured bacterium. Its description in RNAcentral is "partial 16S ribosomal RNA". It matches the Rfam family "Bacterial small subunit ribosomal RNA", at positions 338 to 687 of the family's 1533-position model. The record is from RNAcentral.